AGAUCCCGAUCCAGCGAUCGUCUAUGAAGGACAGAAGCUCGUCCUGCGCUGUCUCGUCAGGAAGGGGACGCAUCUGUCCUUCACAUGGUACCACGACACACAGUUAGUGAACUCCUCGUCAGAGCUCCACCGGCUCUCCGGAGACGCUCUCACGGUGGACGGGGCGACUGAAAUGCAUGCUGGGAUAUACUCAUGCACAGCUCAAAACCAGAUGACCGUCAACCCCAGAUUCUCCAGCAGCCGAAACCUCCACGUCACUGUCAAAAAGCGCAUCUCGGCGCCCUCGUUAUCGUUUACGGUCUUCUCUAACGGCUCCAGCCUGACGGCCAACAUCAGCUGCCGUUCUGAGCGUGGAUCUCCGCCCGUGACGUUCAGAUUGAUGUUGGACGGACUGGAGCUGGAUGUGAAGCGAGUGGAUUCACUAGAGUCCUGGUUCGUUCUGCCGAUCUCUGUGGGUCUGGAUCUGGGAGCCGCUCGAUGUAAAGCACAAACGGAAACACAGCAGCUGCUGUCUGAUCCCGUGCGUUUACUCGUAGUUCCAGUAGGUGGCGCUGUGCGUGUCACAGUAACGUACCUCCACGACGCCGACGGGACGGUGGCAGCCGCUCGGCUCAAAUGUGUCCCAGACAUAGGAACGUUUCCCACAUUCUCCUGGCGUCUGAACCAUUCCUCCCUUCCAGCAGAGGGCGACGCUCACGCGGUCACUCAUCACGGUCAGAUCUUGAUCCUCACAGAUGUCAGCGCUGGGUUUUACCGCUGCAGGGUGAGGGACAGUUUUAACGACAGCUCAGUCUGGGUGGAGAGCGAGGACAUCUUUAUUCAGAAGACAGAUUUGGCAGCGACGCCCGUGGAGGUCAUUGCGUUGGUUUUCUGUGGUUUCCUGUCGAUUGUGAUUGUGUUAGGCUCAUUCUUUAUGUUCUGGAGCACCAAGCGCAGAAACAACAGCUGCAAACAUCACAGUAACCAGGACGUGAUCCAGUCUGAGAUGAUAACGUGAGUCUGGUUUAGUCUCUCUCAAGCUUCAUUCGGCUGUGAUGCUGCUGUAAAGAACGCUUCUAACCUCUCAUCUGUUCCUCUCUGCAGAAUGAAUGAUCCUGUAGCUGAUGUUUCCUCUGAACCUCAACCUGUGGAAAUGAAACAGUCAUCAUGGAGUUUGAGGCCUAGAGGUCUAGACCAGUGUCCUGCAGAGACGUCUUGAAGAUUCUAGAAAUCCUGAACACUUUGAUUAGCUCUUUAAUUAAGGUGAAAGAUGAACUCUGACUGGACAUCAAUCACUACUGAGCCAUUUUCCUGUUUUUAAAUUGUUUUCUAUCAAUGAGAUUGUAAGGCUUUUAUAUACCAAAUAAAUGUUUAAUUUAUCAAAUGCUUCUACUGAAUAUAUGCUUUCUAUGGAGAGAGAUUC
Molecule: long non-coding RNA, 1402 nt
Filed under: Sinocyclocheilus anshuiensis
Lineage: Eukaryota; Metazoa; Chordata; Actinopteri; Cypriniformes; Cyprinidae
Description: lncRNA (ENSSANG00000015922.1)
Source: RNAcentral